Molecule: long non-coding RNA, 1231 nt
Organism: Harmonia axyridis
Lineage: Eukaryota; Metazoa; Arthropoda; Insecta; Coleoptera; Coccinellidae
Exons: 2
Source: RefSeq, a predicted model, not a curated record
ACGUGAUCACUGAUCACACAAAUGUCAAACAAUUUUAAUGGUUAUAAUAAAUUGUGAAAUUAUGUUUAUAGCUUUGUACAUUAAUAAUAUCUAUUCUAUAUUCUAAAGCUUAUAGUUUUGUGAAUUAAUUUCAAUAGAUUUGUAGGUGAAUUCAUUUUUUGAUUCACUCUCAAAUUAAACUUAGGUGGAAGAAGAAGUAUUAUAUCUAUUAAAUAUUCAGAAAUAUUACCUAUUAAGGAAGAGGAAUCCAUCUACAUGUAUAUCUGCUGACACAAUGUAAUAGUACAAUAAUUGUACUAUCAGCAAUAUGUAUUUCCAUAAUAUUUUCCAUGCAUCAUAUUGCACACCUUCUUAAUUCAAAGAUUUCCAUAGAGCUCUCAUAAAAGCUAGGGGGUUCAUAAUCAUUAUGAAUGUACUCAAGAAAUAAUUAGGGAGACUAGAAAUAUAUUAAUAGUGAACAAAUGUUUUUGCUAGUUCUAAAAUGCCAACGUUAUCAACUCAAGAAAAAAUAAAAAUUUUGAAGUGGUAUUUUGGUGGUAAUUCGAUGGGAGAUAUUACAAAUUUGUUUAUUAAUGAAUUUGAAGGGAAGCCAAUUCCGGCAAAAUCUACCAUUUCUAAAAUUGUUAAAAAGUUUGAGAAAUAUGGAUGUGUUCAGUAUUGCAGGCAUUGUCUUAAUUUCGAUGAACCACGUAUAAAGACAAUUAAUAAAGAGCGUGAACAAAGGGAAUCAAAUGUUUGUGCUGCUGUCGAUGCCAAUGAAAAUAUUACAAGUAAACAAAUUGGAAAACAAUUGAAUUUAAAUGACAGAACUGUACGGAAUAUACUGAAGAGGAAAGGCUACCAUUGUUAUAAACUAAAAAAUUAUCAGGUUCUGUGGAAAAAGUGAUUAAUCAUAGUGUAUAUUUUUGUAUUAAAUAUUUUGCAUUUGCAUUUUUCUUUAUAUGUAUGGAGUGAGUACCACAGAACAAUAAAUAUAUGUGAGUACUGCCAGCAUAGGCUACUGACGUCACAGAACAACAAGCAAAUAUUGUUUUGAUAGGUUAUUUGUAAACGUAAGGAAAACAGUGAUUUUAUUCUUUAAUAAUAUGUUGAUUUCUGUUAUCUGAUUGAAAAUCUUGUUUUUCUAGUAAUAUAAUAAUUUCACUUGUUUAGGUUUAGAUUUUAAUUUUUAUAUAGUAAUAUGUACAAAUAUUUUGAAUUAUAAAAAUAAAUACCUACAACCAUAACUUAU